GAUGAAGAACGUAGUGAAAUGCGAUAAGUAAUGUGAAUUGCAGAAUUCAGUGAAUCAUCGAAUCUUUGAACGCACCUUGCGCCCUUUGGCUAUUCCAAAGGGCAUGCCUGUUUGAGUAUCAUGAACACCUCAACUCUCAUGGUCUGCCAUGAUGAGCUUGGACUUUGGAGGUCUGCUGGCCUGUGGUCAGCUCCUCUCAAAUGAAUCAGCUUUCCGGUGUUUGGUGGCAUCAUGGGUGUGAUAAAUAUCUACGCUUGUGGUUUUCCACCAGGUAACCUUCAGUGAUGGGGGUUCGCUGGGGCUCAUAAAUGUCUCUCCUCAGCGAAGACAGCUUUGUGAAUGUUUGAUCUCAAAUCAGGUAGGACUACCCGCUGAACUUAAGCAUAUCAAUAAGCGAGGA
RNAcentral lists this unclassified non-coding RNA (400 nucleotides) under soil metagenome. RNAcentral describes it as "partial contains 5.8S ribosomal RNA, internal transcribed spacer 2, and large subunit ribosomal RNA". The stretch from base 1 to 121 matches the Rfam family "5.8S ribosomal RNA", at positions 35 to 154 of the family's 154-position model. The record is from RNAcentral.